AGAAAUGAUGUCUGGGAUCUGGUC
RNAcentral lists this non-coding RNA (24 nucleotides) under Arabidopsis thaliana (thale cress). Lineage: Eukaryota; Viridiplantae; Streptophyta; Magnoliopsida; Brassicales; Brassicaceae. The record is from RNAcentral.